This 483-nucleotide ribosomal RNA is filed under the name uncultured bacterium. RNAcentral describes it as "bacterial SSU rRNA". It matches the Rfam family "Bacterial small subunit ribosomal RNA", at positions 29 to 507 of the family's 1533-position model. The record is from RNAcentral.
AUUGAACGCUGGCGGCAUGCCUUACACAUGCAAGUCGAACGCGAAAGCGGAGCAAUCCGUGAGUAGAGUGGCGAACGGGUGAGUAAUGCAUCGGAACAUUUCCAGUAGCGGGGGAUAACCUGUCGAAAGAUAGGCUAAUACCGCAUACGCCCCACGGGGGAAAGCGGAGGACCGCAAGGCUUCGCACUAUUGGAGUGGCCGAUGCCGGAUUAGCUAGUUGGCGGGGUAAAAGCCCACCAAGGCUACGAUCCGUAGCUGGUCUGAGAGGACGAUCAGCCACACUGGAACUGAGACACGGUCCAGACUCCUACGGGAGGCAGCAGUGGGGAAUUUUGGACAAUGGGCGCAAGCCUGAUCCAGCCAUGCCGCGUGAGUGAAGAAGGCCUUCGGGUUGUAAAGCUCUUUCGGCGGGGAAGAAAAGGUACGUGCUAAUACCACGGACUAAUGACGGUACCCGAAGAAGAAGCACCGGCUAACUACGUG